GGUUAAGCGACUAAGCGUACACGGUGGAUGCCCUGGCAGUCAGAGGCGAUGAAGGGCGUGCUAAUCUGCGAUAAGCGCCGGUAAGGUGAUAUGAACCGUUAUAACCGGCGAUACCCGAAUGGGGAAACCCAGUGUGAUUCGUCACACUAUCAUUAACUGAAUCCAUAGGUUAAUGAGGCGAACCGGGGGAACUGAAACAUCUAAGUACCCCGAGGAAAAGAAAUCAACCGAGAUUCCCCCAGUAGCGGCGAGCGAACGGGGAGGAGCCCAGAGCCUGAAUCAGCAUGUGUGUUAGUGGAAGCGUCUGGAAAGGCGCGCGAUACAGGGUGACAGCCCCGUACACAAAAGCGCAUGUGCUGUGAGCUCGAUGAGUAGGGCGGGACACGUGGUAUCCUGUCUGAAUAUGGGGGGACCAUCCUCCAAGGCUAAAUACUCCUGACUGACCGAUAGUGAACCAGUACCGUGAGGGAAAGGCGAAAAGAACCCCGGCGAGGGGAGUGAAAAAGAACCUGAAACCGUGUACGUACAAGCAGUGGGAGCACCCUUUUGGGUGUGACUGCGUACCUUUUGUAUAAUGGGUCAGCGACUUAUAUUCUGUAGCAAGGUUAACCGAAUAGGGGAGCCGGAGGGAAACCGAGUCUUAAUUGGGCGUUAAGUUGCAGGGUAUAGACCCGAAACCCGGUGAUCUAGCCAUGGGCAGGUUGAAGGUUGGGUAACACUAACUGGAGGACCGAACCGACUAAUGUUGAAAAAUUAGCGGAUGACCUGUGGCUGGGGGUGAAAGGCCAAUCAAACCGGGAGAUAGCUGGUUCUCCCCGAAAGCUAUUUAGGUAGCGCCUCGUGAAUUCAUCUCCGGGGGUAGAGCACUGUUUCGGCUAGGGGGCCAUCCCGGCUUACCAACCCGAUGCAAACUGCGAAUACCGGAGAAUGUUAUCACGGGAGACACACGGCGGGUGCUAACGUCCGUCGUGAAGAGGGAAACAACCCAGACCGCCAGCUAAGGUCCCAAAGUCAUGGUUAAGUGGGAAACGAUGUGGGAAGGCCCAGACAGCCAGGAUGUUGGCUUAGAAGCAGCCAUCAUUUAAAGAAAGCGUAAUAGCUCACUGGUCGAGUCGGCCUGCGCGGAAGAUGUAACGGGGCUAAACCAUGCACCGAAGCUGCGGCAGCGACGUUUAUGCGUUGUUGGGUAGGGGAGCGUUCUGUAAGCCUGCGAAGGUGGCCUGUGAGGGUUGCUGGAGGUAUCAGAAGUGCGAAUGCUGACAUAAGUAACGAUAAAGCGGGUGAAAAGCCCGCUCGCCGGAAGACCAAGGGUUCCUGUCCAACGUUAAUCGGGGCAGGGUGAGUCGACCCCUAAGGCGAGGCCGAAAGGCGUAGUCGAUGGGAAACGGGUUAAUAUUCCCGUACUUGGUGUUACUGCGAAGGGGGGACGGAGAAGGCUAUGUUGGCCGGGCGACGGUUGUCCCGGUUUAAGCGUGUAGGCUGGUUUUCCAGGCAAAUCCGGAAAAUCAAGGCUGAGGCGUGACGACGAGGCACUACGGUGCUGAAGCAACAAAUGCCCUGCUUCCAGGAAAAGCCUCUAAGCAUCAGGUAACAUCAAAUCGUACCCCAAACCGACACAGGUGGUCAGGUAGAGAAUACCAAGGCGCUUGAGAGAACUCGGGUGAAGGAACUAGGCAAAAUGGUGCCGUAACUUCGGGAGAAGGCACGCUGACACGUAGGUGAAGUGAUUUACUCAUGGAGCUGAAGUCAGUCGAAGAUACCAGCUGGCUGCAACUGUUUAUUAAAAACACAGCACUGUGCAAACACGAAAGUGGACGUAUACGGUGUGACGCCUGCCCGGUGCCGGAAGGUUAAUUGAUGGGGUCAGCGCAAGCGAAGCUCCUGAUCGAAGCCCCGGUAAACGGCGGCCGUAACUAUAACGGUCCUAAGGUAGCGAAAUUCCUUGUCGGGUAAGUUCCGACCUGCACGAAUGGCGUAAUGAUGGCCAGGCUGUCUCCACCCGAGACUCAGUGAAAUUGAACUCGCUGUGAAGAUGCAGUGUACCCGCGGCAAGACGGAAAGACCCCGUGAACCUUUACUAUAGCUUGACACUGAACAUUGAGCCUUGAUGUGUAG
RNAcentral lists this ribosomal RNA (2115 nucleotides) under Salmonella enterica subsp. enterica serovar Bareilly. RNAcentral describes it as "partial 23S ribosomal RNA". It matches the Rfam family "Bacterial large subunit ribosomal RNA", at positions 1 to 2141 of the family's 2925-position model. Lineage: Bacteria; Pseudomonadati; Pseudomonadota; Gammaproteobacteria; Enterobacterales; Enterobacteriaceae. The record is from RNAcentral.